Molecule: long non-coding RNA, 1587 nt
Organism: Macaca mulatta (Rhesus monkey)
Lineage: Eukaryota; Metazoa; Chordata; Mammalia; Primates; Cercopithecidae
Source: Ensembl
GCUGAGCUGAGCUCAAGUGUCUGUGCCUGGGAGGGGCUGGGCCGGAAUGGGCACCACGCAAGCCUGCAGCAGAGGGCCAAAGGGCUGCCCGGCCUCAGCCCGAAGCUCCCAGAAAGCACCGAGCACAGAGGGUCCCUCCUGCCCCUCCCCUGAACCCCUGUGCCUCUGACAGUUCCCAGGCUCACUCCACCCAGAGGCCCCAGCCCCGUGGAAAGACCCCCGGAAGCCCCUACGGACACCUGGCGGCAGAGACUGGUGCCCUCCCAGGCCUACUUGUCAGUCAAUCUCGGGCCCAGCUCCUGUCACCUCUGUCCCCUGAAGGACUCAGAUCGCUGUGUGUAUUAACUUAGAAUUGUUUCCUCGAGUCCUUGGCAAAGACUUGAACCGACAUGUUCACUGGGAGGAAGUGCGUCUCAUCUUCCGGUGCAUCUGUGCCGAACGGCUCCGCCCUCCGGGCCUAGCUUCCUGUGCAGCAGACGAGGGAGUGCUGGGGACCCUGUCCCACGCCUUCACCUGUGGAAGACUAAAUCCCCCGCGUGAUGGCAUUUGGAGGUCGGGCCUCUGGGGAGGUGAUCAGGUCAUGACGGUGGAGCUCUCUGGGAAGGAUCAAUGCCCUUACAAGAGGAGGCCAGAGAGCGCUGGCUUCCUCUCCCUGCUCUCCACCAUGGGAGGUUACAGGAGAAAAUCUCUGUCUAUAAACCAGGAAGCGGGUCCUCACCGGACACCGGGGGAUCUCAGACUCCCAGCCUCCAGAAUUGCGAGAAAUAAAUGCUCCUUCUUUAAGUCGAGGGUAUUCUGGCAUAGCAACCCAAGCGAAGACACAGAGUUGCAGUCUCCUUAGGAAGUCCAGACAUUUUCAGGUUAAACCUUUUUUAAGAAGUGUGUUCCUAUGGCAAGUUUGAAAUGGAUUUUUUUUCUCUCUCUCUUCUUUUUUCAGCUAUUUCUGGUCUAUAGUAAAAAUACUGAAAAACAGAUAUAGCUAUAGAUCUUAUGUAUCAGCAGCUAUAGAUUCUAUAUAUAAACAGCUAAAUAUAGCCAUAUUUACUAAGUUGUUAGGAUUUUUAAAAUACACUUUUUCUUGAGUCUUGAAUAAAUACAUUGUCUAGAAAUGAGAAUAUUUUGUGCUUCUUUGUUCGUAUUUCCUGUCUCAAGCUUUUGGCCCCCAUGAGGGAGGGCUGCCAUCUUGGUUUGUCCUCCAAGGGGCCCCGGUGAUGUGCCCAGAAGUGCAAUGUUUGGUGGUGUUGAGGAAAUUAUUAUUUAUGACCAAUACGGUGGAUCCAAUUUACUUUCCAUAUGGACUGGAAAUGUCAAAUAACCCUACACUCUCCGAGCUGUGGUUUCAUGACCCAUAAACUCAGAGAGUUGAGUUAAAAGAAAUGCUCAAAUUUUUCUUGACCCGGGAGCCAGUUUUAAACACCCCAGGGAAUGUCAAGCCUCUAAUCUAAAUCUCCAAGAACCCUGUCACUCCGUCACUCCAAGCUAUCCCUGACGACCUUUCCUUCAAAUUGUUGUUUUCACAAGAAAAUGAACCCUUUCCAGAUCACACAAACACAUCCCCUGGGGCCAGCUCUGCUGUUGCCGCUCCCG